RNAcentral lists this ribosomal RNA (442 nucleotides) under uncultured bacterium. RNAcentral's name for it is "partial 16S ribosomal RNA". It matches the Rfam family "Bacterial small subunit ribosomal RNA", at positions 338 to 795 of the family's 1533-position model. The record is from RNAcentral.
CCUACGGGAGGCAGCAGUAGGGAAUCUUUCACAAUGGGCGAAAGCCUGAUGGAGCAACGCCGCGUGCAGGAUGAAGGCCUUCGGGUUGUAAACUGCUUUUAUAAGCGAGAAAUAUGAUGGUAACUUAUGAAUAAGGAUCGGCUAACUACGUGCCAGCAGCCGCGGUCAUACGUAGGAUCCGAGCAUUAUCCGGAGUGACUGGGCGUAAAGAGUUGCGUAGGUGGCAUAAUAAGUAGCUAGGGAAAUCUGGUGGCUCAACCAUUCAGACUAUUAGCUAAACUGUUAAGCUCGAGACCGUUAGAGGUAACUGGAAUUUCUAGUGUAGGAGUGAAAUCCGUAGAUAUUAGAAGGAACACCAAUAGCGUAGGCAGGUUGCUGGGACGGUUCUGACACUAAGGCACGAAAGCGUAGGGAGCAAACGGGAUUAGAUACCCGAGUAGUC